CGUCGAAGGUGGGGCUGAUGACUGGGGUGAAGUCGUAACAAGGUAGCCGUACCGGAAGGUGCGGCUGGAUCACCUCCUAACAGGGAGACAACACAAUGAUUUUGAUGCCUGAGUACUUUUAUUCUUAGGCCGAAAUCCUGUCACCUUAGGUCGAUCGGUACCUCAGCAUUAAGAGCAGUAAUUGAUGAGCAAUUAUCAAGAGACUGAAGGAGAUGUUCAGUUCCUAAACUUUGUCUAGGUCACACCCCACAAGGGUUGAGUCUUCCUGGGCCAUUAGCUCAGGUGGUUAGAGCGCACCCCUGAUAAGGGUGAGGUCCCUGGUUCAAGUCCAGGAUGGCCCAUUCGGUGUUGGGGGUUUAGCUCAGUUGGUAGAGCGCCUGCUUUGCAAGCAGGAUGUCAGGAGUUCGAGUCUCCUAACCUCCACUGACCGAACUUAAUCUCCAUCUUCUGAAUUAUGGAAGGUGAACUCGAAGGUGUGUGUGAUUUAGAUGUGUCCGCUGGCAUGAACUCAGCUUCCUGUCAUUCCAAGUGAAGAGUUUUGCUCUGAAUUUGGUUGAUAAGAUGCUGGGAUCGAACUGAGCAAUCAGUUGGAUGUCUAGCAGAACCUUGACAACUGCAUAGGUGAGUCUGGAAAGAAUAAAGCAUCUCUCAUGGAUGCAUCAUUCUUUUAAAGGAUGAUGUUAAUUCUUGAGCAAGAGCCGAGACUCCAUUACGUUCUUCUGAUUGUGUCGAGCAAUCAGGAGUUUGAUCAUUGAUUUAGGAAUAAAUCAGUGAGAAUCCGUUUCAACGACGGCAAGCGUAUUGGAGAUUAUAUGGUCAAGCUACAAAGGGCUCAC
This 836-nucleotide unclassified non-coding RNA is filed under the name uncultured Synechococcus sp. Its description in RNAcentral is "partial may contain 16S ribosomal RNA, 16S-23S ribosomal RNA intergenic spacer, and 23S ribosomal RNA". The stretch from base 351 to 423 matches the Rfam family "tRNA". The record is from RNAcentral. Lineage: Bacteria; Bacillati; Cyanobacteriota; Cyanophyceae; Synechococcales; Synechococcaceae.